Molecule: non-coding RNA, 237 nt
Organism: Pelobates cultripes (western spadefoot toad)
Lineage: Eukaryota; Metazoa; Chordata; Amphibia; Anura; Pelobatidae
Source: the annotation of a GenBank genome assembly
CUUAUUUAUCUGUUAAGUUUUAAAGUACCAAUAUUUUCCACAUUGUUUCUGAGUUCAUAUAGAUCCGAUUGUCUAUUAAGAAUAUAUUGCUGGGUGUCCUCAUUUUUGCCCUUAUAUGAUAUACACACACUUUUCUAUUACUCAUGCAUUGCUCCGUAAAAUGUGAGCAGGAAGGCCUUGAUAUAUGCACUAUUGUUUUACCCAAUGUUAUGGAGUCCAUCAAUACCUAAGGUGCUG